RNAcentral lists this ribosomal RNA (253 nucleotides) under uncultured bacterium. Its description in RNAcentral is "partial 16S ribosomal RNA". It matches the Rfam family "Bacterial small subunit ribosomal RNA", at positions 524 to 776 of the family's 1533-position model. The record is from RNAcentral.
GACAGAGGGUGCAAACGUUGUUCGGUAUUACUGGGCGUAAAGCGCGUGUAGGCUGCUUCGCAAGUCGGGUGUGAAAGCCCUGGGCUCAACCUAGGAAGUGCACUCGAAACUGCGAAGCUUGAGUCCUGGAGAGGAAGGCGGAAUUCUCGGUGUAGAGGUGAAAUUCGUAGAUAUCGAGAGGAACACCGGUGGCGAAGGCGGCCUUCUGGACAGUGACUGACGCUGAGACGCGAAAGCGUGGGGAGCAAACAGG